RNAcentral lists this ribosomal RNA (868 nucleotides) under Mycobacteroides abscessus subsp. bolletii. RNAcentral's name for it is "bacterial SSU rRNA". It matches the Rfam family "Bacterial small subunit ribosomal RNA", at positions 119 to 999 of the family's 1533-position model. Lineage: Bacteria; Bacillati; Actinomycetota; Actinomycetes; Mycobacteriales; Mycobacteriaceae. The record is from RNAcentral.
GGGUGAUCUGCCCUGCACUCUGGGAUAAGCCUGGGAAACUGGGUCUAAUACCGGAUAGGACCACACACUUCAUGGUGAGUGGUGCAAAGCUUUUGCGGUGUGGGAUGAGCCCGCGGCCUAUCAGCUUGUUGGUGGGGUAAUGGCCCACCAAGGCGACGACGGGUAGCCGGCCUGAGAGGGUGACCGGCCACACUGGGACUGAGAUACGGCCCAGACUCCUACGGGAGGCAGCAGUGGGGAAUAUUGCACAAUGGGCGCAAGCCUGAUGCAGCGACGCCGCGUGAGGGAUGACGGCCUUCGGGUUGUAAACCUCUUUCAGUAGGGACGAAGCGAAAGUGACGGUACCUACAGAAGAAGGACCGGCCAACUACGUGCCAGCAGCCGCGGUAAUACGUAGGGUCCGAGCGUUGUCCGGAAUUACUGGGCGUAAAGAGCUCGUAGGUGGUUUGUCGCGUUGUUCGUGAAAACUCACAGCUUAACUGUGGGCGUGCGGGCGAUACGGGCAGACUAGAGUACUGCAGGGGAGACUGGAAUUCCUGGUGUAGCGGUGGAAUGCGCAGAUAUCAGGAGGAACACCGGUGGCGAAGGCGGGUCUCUGGGCAGUAACUGACGCUGAGGAGCGAAAGCGUGGGUAGCGAACAGGAUUAGAUACCCUGGUAGUCCACGCCGUAAACGGUGGGUACUAGGUGUGGGUUUCCUUCCUUGGGAUCCGUGCCGUAGCUAACGCAUUAAGUACCCCGCCUGGGGAGUACGGUCGCAAGACUAAAACUCAAAGGAAUUGACGGGGGCCCGCACAAGCGGCGGAGCAUGUGGAUUAAUUCGAUGCAACGCGAAGAACCUUACCUGGGUUUGACAUGCACAGGACGUA